GACGAACGCUGGCGGCAUGCUUAACACAUGCAAGUCGAACGGAGACGCCGUGCCUUUGUGGGGUGCGCGAAUGGCGAACGGGGGAGGAGCCCGUGGGUAACGUGCACUUGACUUUGGCAUAACUUCAGGCCACUGGGGCCAAUACCGGAUAGGAGCUACCGCUGCAUGGUGGGGGUUGGAUAGUUUCGGCGGUUGGGGAUGGACUCGCGGCUCAUCCGCUUGUUGGUGGGGUAGUGGGUUAGCAUGGCUUGGCCCCGUAGCCGGCCUGAGAGGGGGACCGGACAAAGUGGGACGGAGAUGCGGCCCAGACUCCUAUGGGAGGCAGCAGUGGGGUAUAGUGCACUAUGGGCGGAAGCCUGAUGCAGCAACGCCGCGUGGGGUAUGACAGCCUUCGGGUUGUAAACCGCUUUCGCCUGUGACGAAGCGUGAGUGACGGUAAUGGGUAAAGAAGCACCGGCUAACUACGUG
RNAcentral lists this ribosomal RNA (468 nucleotides) under uncultured bacterium. RNAcentral's name for it is "partial 16S ribosomal RNA". It matches the Rfam family "Bacterial small subunit ribosomal RNA", at positions 28 to 507 of the family's 1533-position model. The record is from RNAcentral.